This 253-nucleotide ribosomal RNA is filed under the name uncultured bacterium. Its description in RNAcentral is "partial 16S ribosomal RNA". It matches the Rfam family "Bacterial small subunit ribosomal RNA", at positions 524 to 776 of the family's 1533-position model. The record is from RNAcentral.
UACGGGGGGGGCAAGCGUUGUUCGGAAUUACUGGGCGUAAAGGGCUCGUAGGCGGCCAACUAAGUCAGACGUGAAAUCCCUCGGCUUAACCGGGGAACUGCGUCUGAUACUGGAUGGCUUGAGUUCGGGAGAGGGAUGCGGAAUUCCAGGUGUAGCGGUGAAAUGCGUAGAUAUCUGGAGGAACACCGGUGGCGAAGGCGGCAUCCUGGACCGGCAUUGACGCUGAGGAGCGGAAGCUAGGGGAGCAAACGGG